AUGGUGCGUGUAGCUAUUAGGGUUCGAAUUUGCAUCUUCUUCUUUUUUAGCUUAGCGAGCGGAGUGGCGCCUCCCACUUUUCCGCCUAUAAAUACCACCCCUGGGCGAAGCCUUGUGGAGAGAAAUCUACCACCGCUCUCCCUCUCCCGGCCUGCACUCACAAGCAGCGGCGAAGCCUUCUCUGCCUUCCUCCUCCUCUCUCUUUCUGCCAUGAAGCCCCCUCACUUCACUGGGGAAGCGGCAGCCAGCGCCUCAUGGGCUCACGAGGUCAAGCAGGCCCUCCGUGACAAGCUCCGGUGGACACCCGCCGCGGGCACCACGGGCACCGGCGGCCACGGCGCCGCGAGGCCGCCGACGGCCUCCUCGGCUGUGACCGCCGAGCCGGCGGUGCAGCCGGCCCACGGCGCCGACUGCCGGGGCUUGGCCGCCGCCGAGGACCCCAUCAGGAGGGUCAUGUUCUUGGCCCCCUGGGGCCACACAUAA
This 483-nucleotide ribosomal RNA is filed under the name Triticum aestivum (bread wheat). RNAcentral's name for it is "partial small subunit ribosomal RNA". The record is from RNAcentral. Lineage: Eukaryota; Viridiplantae; Streptophyta; Magnoliopsida; Poales; Poaceae.